RNAcentral lists this ribosomal RNA (253 nucleotides) under uncultured bacterium. Its description in RNAcentral is "partial 16S ribosomal RNA". It matches the Rfam family "Bacterial small subunit ribosomal RNA", at positions 524 to 776 of the family's 1533-position model. The record is from RNAcentral.
UACGUAUGGGGCAAGCGUUAUCCGGAUUUACUGGGUGUAAAGGGAGCGUAGGCGGCCUGGCAAGCCUGAUGUGAAAUACCGGGGCCCAACCCCGGGGCUGCAUUGGGAACUGCCAGGCUGGAGUGCCGGAGAGGCAGGCGGAAUUCCUAGUGUAGCGGUGAAAUGCGUAGAUAUUAGGAAGAACACCAGUGGCGAAGGCGGCCUGCUGGACGGUGACUGACGCUGAAGCUCGAAAGCGUGGGGAGCAAACAGG